UACUCCUACGGGAGGCAGCAGUGGGGAAUAUUGCACAAUGGGCGCAAGCCUGAUGCAGCCAUGCCGCGUGUAUGAAGAAGGCCUUAGGGUUGUAAAGUACUUUCAGCGGGGAGGAAGGUGAUAAGGUUAAUACCAAUGUCAAUUGACGUUACCCGCACAAGAAGCACCGGCUAACUCCGUGCCAGCACCGCGGUAAUA
RNAcentral lists this ribosomal RNA (198 nucleotides) under uncultured Proteus sp. RNAcentral describes it as "partial 16S ribosomal RNA". It matches the Rfam family "Bacterial small subunit ribosomal RNA", at positions 334 to 525 of the family's 1533-position model. The record is from RNAcentral. Lineage: Bacteria; Pseudomonadati; Pseudomonadota; Gammaproteobacteria; Enterobacterales; Morganellaceae.